GACGAACGCUGGCGGCGUGCUUAACACAUGCAAGUCGAACGGAAAGGCCCUGCUUUUGUGGGGUGCUCAAGUGGCGAACGGGUGAGUAACACGUGAGUAAACUGCCCUUGACUUUGGGAUAACUUCAGGAAACUGGGGCUAAUACCUGAUAGGAGCUCCUGCUGCAUGGUGGGGGUUGGAAAGUUUCGGCGGUUGGGGAUGGACUAGCGGCUUAUCAGCUUGUUGGUGGGGUAGUGGCUUACCAAGGCCUUGACGGGUAGCCGGCCUGAGAGGGUGACCGGCCACAUGGGGACUGAGAGACGGCCCAGACUCCUACGGGAGGCAGCAGUGGGGAAUAUUGCACAAUGGGCGGAAGCCUGAUGCAGCAACGCCGCGUGCGGGAUGACGGCCUUCGGGUUGUAAACCGCUUUCGCCUGUGACGAAGCGUGAGUGACGGUAAUGGGUAAAGAAGCACCGGCUAACUACGU
This 467-nucleotide ribosomal RNA is filed under the name uncultured bacterium. Its description in RNAcentral is "partial 16S ribosomal RNA". It matches the Rfam family "Bacterial small subunit ribosomal RNA", at positions 28 to 506 of the family's 1533-position model. The record is from RNAcentral.